UUUUUUUUUUUUUUUCAGUUAACUUUUAAAUAAGUUCAGUAGCAGAGAUGUUUUUGUUAUGGUUUUAGUUUUUAAGAAUAAAAUCCCUGCUUCGAGACACAAUGUAGGUUAACAGACAAACACAAAGACCUUCAGUGCACAGACCGUCAGAUCUGGCUGUAAUUGUGGAUGAACAUGGAUUUACUCCAGACUUUAGUCAUGAAACUCGAGUGUUUCCUCAUAUGGAAUAAACAAAUAAACAUUGUGGGAGAAAUGGAGAAGGCCUGCAGAUUGAUCUGAAGUUAAGUUGUCGCUCAAGAGGAACUGAAUGCUGGAUUGACAUAUGCUGAGGAAUUGUGCUGUUUCAGUCAGUGAAUGAGAUUUUAAAAACACACAAACAGCAUCAUAAUCUUCAAUUCACAAACCAUCAAAUCUGGCUGUAAUUGUGGAUGAACAUGGAUUUACUCCAGACAUUAUUCAUGAAACGGGUGCAAAACCAGGCCCUUUCCUCAAAUGGUAAGUGAAAGCAUGUUUUUAAAUCUUCUUAAUAUCAUUUGUCAAACUAAAUAUUAUGAGAGUGUUUUUCACCGUUUCAAACUGUGUGAUUUGUUCUGUUUUAGGAAUAAACAUUGUGGGAGAAACGAAAUGAAGCUGUCGCUCGAGGAACAAAUGUUGGGUUGUAAGUACUGAACAACUUUCUGCUGAAGAUAAAUGAGUUUUCUUGCUGUAAUUUUGGUAAAAGUGUUUGAUCUGGACUGACGCAGAUCUAAACUGACAAACUGCUGAAUUUACUUGACAUUUUGGACCAGUUUGUGUCUUUAACAUGUUUGAUUGGUAAUUUAGGUUUUUUUUUAUAACAUAUAUUACUAUUACAAAUGGAAACAAUGAGAUAAUGUUCAUCAAAAGCACAAUAAAAUACGACUUAUUUCUAAUUUCAGAAAUCUCCAUCUUCUCAAAUGCAUAAAAAAUCUUUUGUAAUAGUAAUUGUAAUUUGUAAUUGUAAUUUGGGUUUGUGAUCAUUAGAAAAAUGCAGUUUGUGAUGAUCGUGCUGAAUCACAAUCAGACAUUCAGACUCAUCCUGUGCUCAAGGGUUUGCAACAUGCUGAUUUUUAGGUGCAACACCAAAGGAGAUCUGUUGAGGAAUUGUGCUGUUUCAACAGCAUCAUAACAAUCUUCCGAAACUUCAUGUGAAAACAAACGGACUGUUUCACUCUGAUUAGAGCUCUGUGAGUGAUGAUGCCAGUGCUUUUGUGUGUGAACAUGGAUGUGAUUGAUAACAGACACAGACUCAUUGAUGACAGUAAUGAAGGCUGUGAGGAUGAGGCUCUGCGUGUAAACGGAUCCAUACUGUCGUCUGACGCGGGUUUGUAAUAAACGCUGAUGUUUAAUUGCGCUGCUCUCCUCUGACCCUACGCUGAUGAACAGAUAUUUAUUGUUCAGCGAUCAAUAACGCUCACAUCACCGUCUGAUAUUAGCAUCCAUGAACCUUUGACCUCCGUCAUCAUUCGUCUGCAGGCCUGUGAUUGGCUGAUCAGUGCUCGGCUGUUGCUACGGGUUACACACGUGAGCACAUGUGAUCAACACACGAGACUGAUGUGAUUUCACUGUCACUCUGUUAAUGUGGAUCAUUAUAAAUGAACUCAACCAAAGCCAUUUUUUACUUGAAAUAAAAUAAUCAUUAACUGAAAAAAAUGUAAAUGAGAGAUGAAAAAUGUAAAUGUGAGGAAAAGUCAGAAUUGUCAUUUUUUUUCCCUCUAAUCAGAAACAAGCUUUCAUUCUAAUCAGUCUGAUGUGUUUAAAUUAUUCUGUGGCCUUUUUUAUUAAUUCAUUAAUUCUGUUAACGAACAGGGAAGCUGCAGACAGAAGUGCUGCUGAUCUUCAGAGGAAGUGAACGCCGCUGUCGUCACCAAGCAGGAAAUGACCGUGUGUGUCUGUGAUCUCAGACAGGAAGCAGCGCAGGCCUCUCUCUUACCCAACGUCCUGUGAGCUGAUAGAGAAGAGGAAGUGGGAAGGAAAGAGGAAGCAGCAUCCAUGUGACGCAUCACAUCCUGUCUAUCUGACUGCCUGCUGGCGUCACGUGAGGGGUUUUCUCUCACACACACACGUGUUGUGUUUCCAUGUUUUCCAUAGGUGUAAUGGUUUUUACACUGUACAAACUGUAUUUUCUGUUGCCCUACACAUAACCUAGCCCUCACAGGAGACUGUGCACACUUUAACUUUCUCAAAAAAACUCAUUCUGCAUGAUUUAUAAGACUGUUUCUUCAUAGGGACCUAAAAAACAAGGUCAAAAGUUACUGGUAUUACUAUCCUUGUAACGUCCCCAUAACGUGAUAAAUACCAGGUACACACACACACACA
This is a long non-coding RNA of Labeo rohita (rohu), 2337 nucleotides long. RefSeq lists it as uncharacterized. The record is from RefSeq and is a predicted model, not a curated record. Lineage: Eukaryota; Metazoa; Chordata; Actinopteri; Cypriniformes; Cyprinidae. The transcript has 3 exons.